AUACUUACCUGGCAGGGCAGAUACCACGAUCACAAGGUGGCUUUCCCAGGGCGAGGCUUAUCCACCGCACUGACCCCUGCGGUUUCCCCAAAUGUGGGAAACUCAACUGCAUAAUUUGUGGUAGUGGGAAGUUGCAUUUGUGUCCUCCCCU
Molecule: small nuclear RNA, 151 nt
Filed under: Propithecus coquereli (Coquerel's sifaka)
Lineage: Eukaryota; Metazoa; Chordata; Mammalia; Primates; Indriidae
Description: U1 spliceosomal RNA (ENSPCOG00000013487.1)
Rfam family: U1 spliceosomal RNA
About the family: U1 is a small nuclear RNA (snRNA) component of the spliceosome (involved in pre-mRNA splicing). Its 5' end forms complementary base pairs with the 5' splice junction, thus defining the 5' donor site of an intron. There are significant differences in sequence and secondary structure between metazoan and yeast U1 snRNAs, the latter being much longer (568 nucleotides as compared to 164 nucleotides in human).
Source: Rfam by way of RNAcentral